Molecule: long non-coding RNA, 1609 nt
Filed under: Gallus gallus (chicken)
Lineage: Eukaryota; Metazoa; Chordata; Aves; Galliformes; Phasianidae
Source: RNAcentral
CUGGACGUUAGGAAAUACUACUUGUCUGAAAGGGUGGUCAGGCACUGGAAUGGGCUGCCCAGAGAGGUGGUGGAGUCACCGAUCCUGGUGGUGUUCAAAGAGUGGAUGUUGUGUUGAGGGACAUGGUUUAGCGAGAAGCACUGGUGAAGGGUGAAUGUUUGGACUGGAUGAUCCUGUGUGUCUUUUCCAACCUUAGCGAUUCUAUGAUUCUAUGAUUCUCUGAAAGAAGCUGACAAACAGAAAUUUGUAACACGUUUCAGGAGUGCUGUGGUUUGCUGUGUGUGGAGCUCUGCAUUCCAAAGUGCUGCAGGCACUGCAUUCUUCCUUUGCUGAGUUGUGCUUCUCUUUUUGUUUGCUCUGUGUUUUGCCUCCUGCUCAUUAUGUCUCUCCAUACAGAUGUGCCCUUAUCCACCCACUCUGAUGUAUUGUCUUGCAGCUGAGCUGGGAAAUUGUGUCAUUGCCGAGGAUUAGGAAUUGUGUUGGACUGCAUAUAGACACAUGGCGCUGAAAGUAAUGCCUCCUAUUUGUUUCCAUGGAAAGUACAAUCUUAAAUGGCACACAAUAACCCUGCCUGAUGGAUUGGAAUCAUAGUUACAGAAUUCGAUUUUUCAUCGUAAUCCCCAUCGUACCUCUGCAUUUUACGGGCUGUGAACCAAAGCCUUCAUGUUGCGCUCAUAUAAAUCUUUGACAGAGGAUGUGGCCCUCUGUAGCCACUGCACAAAUACAUCAUCCAACACCUCAUGGUGCUCACAUCCACUCUUUUUUUCUCCAUAAACAUUCAGCAAGCGUUAGUGAAUGUCAAUGGAUGCAAUUCUUUGUGCAUGGAGGAGUGCAGCGAUGCACUUCCUUGUGAGAUGCCAUUUGGUCAGAUUGCCCCUCUAUUGCCAUCCAUCACAUGGUGUCAAAACACAGUGGGAUAUUGGUGGGAACGUUCAGCCUCUGCUUUGUACCACCAGCGUUGGCCUUGGACAGCAUGGGCUGCCACAAUAAAUCGGGAGGCAUUACUUUCAGAGCAGCAGUGAUGGAAUACACGGAAUCGUUAUUAUGUACAUAAUAAAACAAUUGAAUUGUCAAUAUUUCUGGUAAAUGUUUCUAAAAAGGGGGAACAAAAACAUGAAACCAGUGGGAUAUUUGACCUUUUCUUUUUGGUGACAGCAGUGCAUCAGGCCGGUUCGGCUGCAGUGUCUGGAAUUCUUAGGGGAGUCUCAACAUCUUCAUUGGAGAUUUUGGAUGAAAUGUUACUCCUGUUGAACUUCAUCCUUGAAAACAGUUAUCCACAAAGUUACAUACUACCAAAAAAGCCAUGCCGUGAGUGAAGGCUGAUGGUGAAGUGAGAGAUGUUUCUCUCUGGUAAGAUAGGGACUGUUGAAGUCUUCACCAGCCAGGGCUCUAGCUGCAUGGCCCAAGCUGCAGAAAGCAAAGGUAAGAACUGGGAGAAGGAGGAUCUGCCUGCUGUCAGUGAAGAUCACAUUUGUGACCAUCUAAAGAACCUGCAGGUGCACAAGUGCAUGGGACCCGAUGAGCUCCGUGCACGAGUUCUGUGGCAGAUGAAGUUGACAGGCUACUAUCCAUCAUAUUUGAAAGGUCAUGGCAGCCUGGUGAAGUUCCC